RNAcentral lists this ribosomal RNA (486 nucleotides) under uncultured bacterium. RNAcentral's name for it is "bacterial SSU rRNA". It matches the Rfam family "Bacterial small subunit ribosomal RNA", at positions 28 to 507 of the family's 1533-position model. The record is from RNAcentral.
GAUGAACGCUAGCGGCAGGCCUAACACAUGCAAGUCGAGGGGCAUCGCGGUGCAGCAAUGCACUGGCGGCGACCGGCGUACGGGUGCGUAACGCGUAUGCAACCUGCCCCGCACCGGGGGAUAGCCCGCCGAAAGGCGGAUUAAUACCCCAUGGCCCCGGGGGCCCGCAUGGGCAUCCGGGUAAAGCUUUGGCGGUGCGGGAUGGGCAUGCGUGCCAUUAGCUGGCUGGUGGGGUAACGGCCCACCAGGGCAACGAUGGCUAGGGGGUCUGAGAGGAUGGUCCCCCACACUGGUACUGAGACACGGACCAGACUCCUACGGGAGGCAGCAGUGAGGAAUAUUGGUCAAUGGGCGGAAGCCUGAACCAGCCAUGCCGCGUGCGGGAUGAAGGCCCUACGGGUUGUAAACCGCUUUUCCCCGGGAAGAAUAAGCCCCCCGCGGGGGGUGAUGCCGGUACCGGGGGAAUAAGGAUCGGCUAACUCCGUG